Molecule: ribosomal RNA, 1013 nt
Filed under: Simplicillium minatense
Lineage: Eukaryota; Fungi; Ascomycota; Sordariomycetes; Hypocreales; Cordycipitaceae
Description: SSU rRNA
Rfam family: Eukaryotic small subunit ribosomal RNA
Source: RNAcentral
ACUGCGAAUGGCUCAUUAUAUAAGUUAUCGUUUAUUUGAUAGUACCUUACUACUUGGAUAACCGUGGUAAUUCUAGAGCUAAUACAUGCUAAAAAUCCCGACUUCGGAAGGGAUGUAUUUAUUAGAUUAAAAACCAAUGCCCUCUGGGCUCUCUGGUGAUUCAUGAUAACUUCUCGAAUCGCAUGGCCUUGCGCCGGCGAUGGUUCAUUCAAAUUUCUUCCCUAUCAACUUUCGAUGUUUGGGUAUUGGCCAAACAUGGUCGCAACGGGUAACGGAGGGUUAGGGCUCGACCCCGGAGAAGGAGCCUGAGAAACGGCUACUACAUCCAAGGAAGGCAGCAGGCGCGCAAAUUACCCAAUCCCGACACGGGGAGGUAGUGACAAUAAAUACUGAUACAGGGCUCUUUCGGGUCUUGUAAUUGGAAUGAGUACAAUUUAAAUCCCUUAACGAGGAACAAUUGGAGGGCAAGUCUGGUGCCAGCAGCCGCGGUAAUUCCAGCUCCAAUAGCGUAUAUUAAAGUUGUUGUGGUUAAAAAGCUCGUAGUUGAACCUUGGGCCUGGCUGGCCGGUCCGCCUCACCGCGUGUACUGGUCCGGCCGGGCCUUUCCCUCUGUGGAACCUCAUGCCCUUCACUGGGCGUGACGGGGAAACAGGACUUUUACUGUGAAAAAAUUAGAGUGCUCCAGGCAGGCCUAUGCUCGAAUACAUUAGCAUGGAAUAAUGAAAUAGGACGUGCGGUUCUAUUUUGUUGGUUUCUAGGACCGCCGUAAUGAUUAAUAGGGACAGUCGGGGGCAUCAGUAUUCAAUUGUCAGAGGUGAAAUUCUUGGAUUUAUUGAAGACUAACUACUGCGAAAGCAUUUGCCAAGGAUGUUUUCAUUAAUCAGGAACGAAAGUUAGGGGAUCGAAGACGAUCAGAUACCGUCGUAGUCUUAACCAUAAACUAUGCCGACUAGGGAUCGGACGAUGUAAAUAAUUGACUCGUUCGGCACCUUACGAGAAAUCAAAGUGUUGCU